GCUCCAUUGGCGCAGUUGGUUAGCGCGUGGUACUUAUAAGACUAAGAAAUGCCAAGGUCGGCAGUUCGAUCCUCCCAUGGAGCA
RNAcentral lists this transfer RNA (84 nucleotides) under Angiostrongylus costaricensis. It matches the Rfam family "tRNA". From Rfam's summary of the family: Transfer RNA (tRNA) molecules are approximately 80 nucleotides in length. Their secondary structure includes four short double-helical elements and three loops (D, anti-codon, and T loops). Further hydrogen bonds mediate the characteristic L-shaped molecular structure. tRNAs have two regions of fundamental functional importance: the anti-codon, which is responsible for specific mRNA codon recognition, and the 3' end, to which the tRNAs corresponding amino acid is attached (by aminoacyl-tRNA synthetases). tRNAs cope with the degeneracy of the genetic code in two manners: having more than one tRNA (with a specific anti-codon) for a particular amino acid; and 'wobble' base-pairing, i.e. permitting non-standard base-pairing at the 3rd anti-codon position. Lineage: Eukaryota; Metazoa; Nematoda; Chromadorea; Rhabditida; Metastrongylidae. The record is from Rfam by way of RNAcentral.